UUGAUCCCGCCGGACCCGACUGCUAUUUGGGUGAGGAUAAACCAUGCGAGUUGUAUGGGAUACCUAAAUUUCCCAUAGCAAACUGCUUAGUAACACAUGAUCAACUUACCCUAUGGAGAAAUAUAACCUCGGGAAACUGAGGAUAAUGCUUCAUAGUUGAAUAGGCUUGGAAAAGUUUUUCAAUGAAAGGGAUAAGAAAAAUGGUUCUUAUCUGCCAUAGGAUAGGAUCGUGCUCGAUUAUGGUUGUUGGUGAGGUAACGGCUCACCAAGCCGAUAAUCGAUAGGGGCCGUGAGAGCGGGAGCCCCAAGAUGGGUACUGAGACAGCGACCCAGGCCUUACGAGGCGCAGCAGGUACGAAACCUCCGCAAUACACGAAAGUGUGACGGGGUUACCCAAAGUGUUCUUAUAGAACUGUGGCAGGUGAGUAAUGUCCCCUGCUAGAAAGGAGAGGGCAAGGCUGGUGCCAGCCGCCGCGGUAAAACCAGCUCUUCAAGUGGUCGGGAUAAUUAUUGGGCUUAAAGUGUCCGUAGCCAGUUUAGUAAGUUCCUGGUAAAAUCAGAUAGCUUAACUAUCUGCAUGCUAGGAAUACUGCUAUACUAGAGGGCGGGAGAGGUCUGAGGUACUACAGGGGUAGGGGUGAAAUCUUAUAAUCCUUGUAGGACCACCAGUGGCGAAGGCGUCAGACUGGAACGCGCCUGACGGUGAGGGACGAAAGCCAGGGGAGCGAACCGGAUUAGAUACCCGGGUAGUCCUGGCCGUAAACGAUGCAUACUAGGUGAUGAUACAGCCAUGAGCCGUGUCAGUGCCGUAGGGAAACCGUUAAGUGUGCCGCCUGGGAAGUACGGUCGCAAGGCUAAAACUUAAAGGAAUUGGCGGGGGAGCACCACAAAGGGUGAAGCCUGCGGUUCAAUUGGAGUCAACGCCGGGAAUCACUAGUGCGGCCGCCUGC
Molecule: ribosomal RNA, 950 nt
Filed under: uncultured archaeon
Lineage: Archaea
Description: bacterial SSU rRNA
Rfam family: Archaeal small subunit ribosomal RNA
Source: RNAcentral